Non-coding RNA from Poecilia reticulata (guppy), 877 nucleotides. The record is from RefSeq and is a predicted model, not a curated record. Lineage: Eukaryota; Metazoa; Chordata; Actinopteri; Cyprinodontiformes; Poeciliidae.
GGUCAGCAGGCUCGCCGCAUGCUGUGGCCACUUCAGAUCAAGGCUGCAGAGAGCAGGUGCCUCGUUAGAUGUGUGCGCUUGCUCGUGGGGCCGGAGGCUGCGCGAGUGCUGCGUCUCUGCUGAAACCCCACUCAUAAACAAGUCUAAUUGAUCUUCCUCAAGAGAGCGACUCAGCGGGGACACCUGCUGACCAGACAAGGAACUGCAGGGAGCUGGAGCAGACCUGAAGAGUGGUGCUGAGGAUUAAAAAAUUAUGCUCAGCAGGGCUGAGGUGUUGAAGCAGGAGCGCAGUGGAGUCCAAAGCCAGGGGGACGUUUUGAGACGAAGACACCAGCAGGUUCUCAGGGUUCGGGACCGCCCCUGGAAAACGGGCGAGAUGACAUGCAAAACUGCUUCAGCUGCUCCUCCUCAGGGGGGUUGAGACCCAGGGAGGGGACGACCUUCCCGUUGGACAUGAGGAAGUCAUCGGACCGGUUGGCGCUCCACAGCCCCAUCAGACCCACGACGACCACCCGGAGGCCGCUGGCGUAGACGGCUGCACAGCGAUUCACCGAGAGACAGCGCACCGCAAAGCCCUGCUUGUUCUCGUACACAACACCUGGAAGGACAGGGUGAAGAUAUUAGAGCCGCUGGCGGAUGAGAGACGUAAUAUCACAAACUUCCCCAGGGCCUUAAACGAGUACUCUGCCCCGUCGAAGACUUUUUUCUGGGGAUUCCUCACCGGUGCCCCGCGCUGCCCCGCUGCGAAUGCUGGAGACGUAACUCUGACAGCGAUCCAAAGGUCUCUUUCUGAGAAGUAGCGCUCGUUGAACCCAGCCAGCAGGGCGCCUUCCGGCUCGUACACGCACCUCUUCCCGGCGCCAUACUGGUUGGACAG